GGAAGGUCCGGGCGUUAUCCGGAUNUAUUGGGUNUAAAGGGAGCGUAGACGGCAUGGCAAGCCAGAUGUGAAAGCCCGGGGCUCAACCCCGGGACUGCAUNUGGAACUGUCAGGCUAGAGUGUCGGAGAGGAAAGCGGAAUUCCUAGUGUAGCGGUGAAAUGCGUAGAUAUUACGAAGAACUCCGAUUGCGAAGGCAGCUCACUGGAGCGCAACUGACGCUGAAGCUCGAAAGUGCGGGUAUCGAACAGGAUUAGAUACCCUGGUAGUCCGCACGGUAAACGAUGGAUGCCCGCUGUUGGUCUGAANAGGUCAGCGGCCAAGCGAAAGCAUUAAGCAUCCCACCUGGGGAGU
This 352-nucleotide ribosomal RNA is filed under the name uncultured bacterium. RNAcentral's name for it is "bacterial SSU rRNA". It matches the Rfam family "Bacterial small subunit ribosomal RNA", at positions 527 to 881 of the family's 1533-position model. The record is from RNAcentral.